Molecule: ribosomal RNA, 497 nt
Filed under: uncultured bacterium
Lineage: Bacteria
Description: partial 16S ribosomal RNA
Rfam family: Bacterial small subunit ribosomal RNA
Source: RNAcentral
GACGAACGCUGGCGGCGUGCCUAAUACAUGCAAGUAGAACGCUGAAGCGAUGAGCUUACUCUUCUUGGAUGAGUUGCGAACGGGUGAGUAACGCGUAGGUAACCUGCCUUGUAGCGGGGGAUAACUAUUGGAAACGAUAGCUAAUACCGCAUAACAAUGGAUGACACAUGUCAUUUAUUUGAAAGUGGCAAUUGCUCCACUACAAGAUGGACCUUCGUUGUAUUAGCUAGUAGGUGAGGUAAUGGCUCACGUAGGCGGCGAUACAUAGCCGACCUGAGAGGGUGAGCAGCCAGACUGGGACUGAGACCCGGCCCAGAGUGAUACGGGAAGCAGCAGUAGGGAAUCGUCAGCAAUGGGGGCAACACUGACCGAACAACGCCGAAUGAGUGAAGAACGAUUUCGGAUCGUAAAGCUCUGUUGUCAGGCAAGAACGGGUGUGAGCGUGGAAAGUUCACACUGUGACGGUAACUGACAAGAAAGCAACGGCUAACUACGUG